AGUUGGACUAUUUCUUGGAUGAGGAAACUGGUUGGUCUGUCGUUGUUGAUGAGUUACAGCAAGUUUUACUGGAAGGCAAAACUCACUGUCAGCCGAGGGCAAUAGUGGUGAUAAACCCCGGUAACCCUACAGGGCAAUUAUUAUCAAGGAAAAACAUGGAAGAUAUUAUUAAAAUUUGCAGAAAGAGAAAAACUAUUGAUAAUUGCAUUUGAGGUUUACCAGGACAAUGUUUAUGAAGACAAUAUAUUUCAAUCUUUUAAGAAAGUUCUAUAUGAGAUGGAAGCUCCU
Homalodisca vitripennis (glassy-winged sharpshooter) is the source of this 288-nucleotide long non-coding RNA. RefSeq lists it as uncharacterized. NCBI's taxonomy places the organism in Eukaryota, Metazoa, Arthropoda, Insecta, Hemiptera, Cicadellidae. The record is from RefSeq and is a predicted model, not a curated record. The transcript is spliced from 3 exons.